AAAUGAGGUCACCCGGGAGGAGGGGCCGGGGCCCCACUGCACACAGUGCCUGGGGUCUGCGCCCUGGGAGAGGACAGACGGACGGGUGGGAAAGAUUGUCUUCAGGGUCAUAAACUAUUUCCACGGACAAGUGACCUAGGAAACACACGCGCACCAGUGUGCCUUUGGACAAGACACCCUCCUACCCCUCCCUCCCCGCUCCAGCUUCGAGGUGGACACGAGAUUGGAGAAAUGAAUACGGCAGGUGGAACAGAGGGAAACCCGCAGAAAGG
Molecule: long non-coding RNA, 272 nt
Organism: Herpailurus yagouaroundi (jaguarundi)
Lineage: Eukaryota; Metazoa; Chordata; Mammalia; Carnivora; Felidae
Exons: 2
Source: RefSeq, a predicted model, not a curated record